UUAACAAGGUUUCCGUAGGUGAACCUGCGGAAGG
Molecule: ribosomal RNA, 34 nt
Filed under: Gymnoascus verrucosus (nom. illeg.)
Lineage: Eukaryota; Fungi; Ascomycota; Eurotiomycetes; Onygenales; Gymnoascaceae
Description: Gymnoascus verrucosus partial 18S ribosomal RNA
Source: RNAcentral